RNAcentral lists this ribosomal RNA (110 nucleotides) under Eumeta japonica. The record is from RNAcentral. Lineage: Eukaryota; Metazoa; Arthropoda; Insecta; Lepidoptera; Psychidae.
CAUCCAUACCAGGCUGAGUACACCGGUUCUCGUCCGAUCACCGAAGUUAAACAGCAUCGGGCGCGGUCAGUACUUGGAUGGGUGACCGCCUGGGAACACCGCGUGAUGUU